This 1711-nucleotide ribosomal RNA is filed under the name Nyctotherus sp. 2 DHL-2013. RNAcentral's name for it is "SSU rRNA". It matches the Rfam family "Eukaryotic small subunit ribosomal RNA". Lineage: Eukaryota; Ciliophora; Armophorea; Clevelandellida; Nyctotheridae. The record is from RNAcentral.
AACCUGGUUGAUCCUGCCAGUAGUCAUAUGCUUGUCUCAAAGAUUAACCCAUGCAUGUGUAAGUAUAGUUAAAUACAGAGAAAAUGCGAAUGGCUCCUUAAAACAGUUAUAAUUUAUUUGAUGGAUAAAGGAUAUGGAUAACCGUAGUAAUUAUAGAGCUAAUACAUGCUUGAAAGCCUGACUCACGAAGGGCUGCAUUUAUUAGAUAAAGCCAGCAUUUAGGUGAUUCAUAAUAAACUUAGCGGAUCGCGACUUUUGUCGCGACAUGUCAUUCAAGUAUCUGACCUAUCAGCUUUGAUGGUAGUGUAUUGGACUACCAUGGCGUUAACAGGUAACGGGGAAUUAGGGUUCGAUUCCGGAGAAAGAGCCUGAGAAACGGCUAUUACAUCUAUGGAGGGCAGCAGGGGCGUAAAUUACCCAAUCUUGACUUAAGGAGGUAGUGACAAGAAAUAUCGAACUAGCGACAAGCUAGGAUUGGAAUGGACCAAAUCUAAUACCCUUGGCGAGUAACAAUUGGAGGGCAAGUCUGGUGCCAGCAGCCGCGGUAAUUCCAGCUCCAAUAGCAUAUAUUAAAGUUGUUGCAGUUAAAAAGCUCGUAGUUGGAUAUCUGGAGUAGCCGGGAGGUUUUACGCCUCUUAGGCCAUAUUCAUCCUUCUGUUAACACGUGUUGGUAUUCGUACUGGACGUGGGCUCAGAUAUUUUACCUUGAGAAAACUAGAGUGUUUCAGGCAGGCUUGGCCGGAAUACAAAAGCAUGGAAUAAUAGAAUUUGGCACGACUCUGUGGUUGGCCAGGGAAGUGUAAUGAUUAAUAGGAACAGUUGGGGGCAUUAGUAUUUAAUUGUCAGAGGUGAAAUUCUCGGAUUUGUUAAAGACUAACUAAAGCGAAAGCAUUUGCCAAGGAUGUUUUCAUUAAUCAAGAACGAAAGUUAGGGGAUCAAAGACGAUCAGAUACCGUCGUAGUCUUAACCAUAAACGAUGCCGACUAGAGAUUGGAGGAGCGCAAUGCUCCUUCAGCAUCUAAGGAGAAAUCAAAGUCUUUGGGUUCUGGGGGGAGUAUGGUCGCAAGGCUGAAACUUGAAGGAAUUGACGGAAGGGCACCACCAGGAGUGGAGCCUGCGGCUUAAUCUGACUCAACACGGAGAAAUUUACCAGGUCCAGACAUUAGAAGGAUUGACAGAUUGAUAGCUCUUUCUUGAUUUUAUGGGUGGUGGUGCAUGGCCGUUCUUAGUUGGUGGAGUGAUUUGUCUGGUUAAUUCCGAUAACGAACGAGACCUUAACCUACUAACUAGACUGCGGAGUUACUCUCUGCGGGACUUCUUAGAGGGACUGUCUGGCUUAACCUCAAGGAAGUUUAAGGCAAUAACAGGUCUGUGAUGCCCUUAGAUGUCCUGGGCUGCACGCGUGCUACACUGAUGCAUACAAUAAGUUCCUGGAUCGAAAGAUCUGUGGCAAUCUCCAAUGUGCAUCGUGAUUGGGAUAGAUCUUUGUAAUUAUGGAUCUUUAACGAGGAAUUCCUAGUAAGCGUAAGUCAUCAGCUUACGCUGAUUAAGUCCCUGCCCUUUGUACACACCGCCCGUCGCUCCUACCGAUUCCGAGUGAUUCGGUGAGCCUUUUGGACCUGCCACAAGCAGGAAAAUUAUGCGAACCAAAUCACUUAGAGGAAGGAGAAGUCGUAACAAGGUUUCCGUAGGUGAACCUGCGGAAGGAUCA